AUACGUAGGGGGCGAGCGUUGUCCGGAAUUAUUGGGCGUAAAGGGUUCGCAGGCGGUCUGAUAAGUCAGAUGUGAAAGGCAAUGGCUCAACCAUUGUAAGCAUUUGAAACUGUCAGACUUGAGUUAAGGAGAGGAAAGUGGAAUUCCUAGUGUAGCGGUGAAAUGCGUAGAUAUUAGGAGGAAUAUCAGUGGCGAAGGCGACUUUCUGGACUUAUACUGACGCUGAGGAACGAAAGCGUGGGGAGCAAACAGGAUUAGAUACCCUGGUAGUCCACGCCGUAAACGAUGAGUGCUAGGUGUUGGGGGUCAAACCUCGGUGCCGCAGCUAACGCAUUAAGCACUCCGCCUGGGGAGUACGUACGCAAGUAUGAAACUCAAAGGAAUUGACGGGG
RNAcentral lists this ribosomal RNA (392 nucleotides) under uncultured bacterium. Its description in RNAcentral is "partial 16S ribosomal RNA". It matches the Rfam family "Bacterial small subunit ribosomal RNA", at positions 523 to 918 of the family's 1533-position model. The record is from RNAcentral.